AGAUUGAACGCUGGCGGCAUGCUUUACACAUGCAAGUCGAACGGUAACAGGCCGCAAGGUGCUGACGAGUGGCGAACGGGUGAGUAAUGCAUCGGAACGUGCCCAGUCGUGGGGGAUAACGCAGCGAAAGCUGUGCUAAUACCGCAUACGAUCUAUGGAUGGAAAGGCGGGGGACCGAAAGGCCUCGCGCGAUUGGGAGCGGCCGUAUGUCAGUAGUAGCUAGGUUGGUAGGGGUAAAGCCCACCGAAGGCGACGAUCGUGUAGCUGGUCUGAGAGGACGACC
RNAcentral lists this ribosomal RNA (283 nucleotides) under uncultured soil bacterium. RNAcentral describes it as "partial 16S ribosomal RNA". It matches the Rfam family "Bacterial small subunit ribosomal RNA", at positions 26 to 305 of the family's 1533-position model. The record is from RNAcentral.